ACCACUUCUCUGGAGACACUGACUCAUACUUCGUUGGUAGUCAUCAUUAGGCUCAAUGAUUAUAACAGUAAAUGACUAAAGCAGUUUUGAACUCACCAUCUGAUUCAGAUCCAUGAGUGGUAUGGGACCCCCCACUGGGGUGGAAUGUGUCUUGGUCUCCUGUAAUGAGCAAUCAGGAAGAAGGGACUGCUUUUUAGUCAUCAGCACCAUGGAGGUCCAGAGGACAAAAGGCAAAACAAUAUUAUUGUGAGGAAUGUAAAGUGAUAUAAUCAGACAUUUACGCCAAUUAUAAAUCACACUGCAAAAGAACUGAAAUCAUAGCAAACAGUCUAUUGGACCACAGCGCAAUCAAAUUUGAAAUCAAGACUAAGAAACUCACUCAAAACCAUACAAUUACAUGGAAAUUAAAUAACCUGCUCCUGAAUGACUUCUGGGUAAAUAAUGAAAUUAAUGCAGAAAUCAAGAAGUUCUUUGAAACUAAUAAGAACAAAGAUACAACAUAUCAGAAUCUCUGGGACACAGCUAAGGCAGUAGUAAGAGGGAAAUUUAUAGCACUAAAUUUAAACGCCCACAUAAAAAAGUUAGAAAGAUCUCAAGUUAACAAAAAUAAAUAAAUAAAAUAAAUCAUAUAUAAGCAAUCCAUUAUUGUUAAAACAAAUCACUAACUCUAGAGUGAAAGAAACCCAACUUUUAAGAUGAAGAAAUGUAGUUUGCACUUAAUGUACGAAGAGGUAUAUAAAACAGAAAAAUCAGAGAACCACCACCAGACGCACCUUUUGAUUAAAAGUAACAGUGUAACGGCAGCUAAUGGAUGCACCUCCACCAAAGACACUGCAAAAGUACCCAUAAUUGAUUGAUUCUUAUCAAUAGCUGAAGCCAACUAGGUUUUAUAAUCCUUACUGCUUGAUGUCAGAGUAGAAGUUGUUGGAUGGUCUUUAUCUUCUUCCAAGCCUUCAUGUGAUGUAGAGAAGCUCUGAGAAUUACUCUGCUCUGUUUCAAUGAGGAAUGAAUCCAGUGUUAAUUUGAAGCUACGGUACAAAUCCUGUUAUCUGCUAGCAAGGAAAAUCUAGCUAGAGUAGAGUCAGAUGGAUAGGUGCAUAGGAAGACCAAGGUUUGUGCACACAAUUCUCCUCUGAUUGAUAGAAAUAUACAGAAGAAUUCUAUUUUGCCCCUAUUUGGUUCUGAAGACCCUUUAUUUCUCAGUAUAAUCAUCAAAGGUAAAGUGGCAAGGUGAAGACUGAGCCAAAACUUUGCCUAUCCUGGAUUGUCCAGGCUCAAUUGCAGCAUUGCUCCCAGUCACUCCAGAAAACCAGAGAACACAGAGACAUGGAAAAAAG
Molecule: long non-coding RNA, 1337 nt
Organism: Homo sapiens (human)
Lineage: Eukaryota; Metazoa; Chordata; Mammalia; Primates; Hominidae
Gene: CD44-AS1
Product: CD44 antisense RNA 1
Exons: 2
Source: RefSeq, marked validated